Long non-coding RNA from Amphiprion ocellaris (clown anemonefish), 1148 nucleotides. Lineage: Eukaryota; Metazoa; Chordata; Actinopteri; Pomacentridae. The record is from Ensembl.
CACGUUACAGGUAUGUUUUUUUAAUUACAGCUUUUACAAUCAUUAUCAUUAUUGUUAUCAUAUUAUAUUCAAUUAUCAUCACUACUCUCCAAUAAUAUGAAUUUGAAAUCAUAACACAAUUUUGUUUUUCAAAAUGUACACAUACAAGUAGCAUAUCUUAAAUGUCCAUAAUUUAAAACAUAUUUUCCUUUGUUCAACCUAAAAUGAAAUUACAGUCAGUCUUAAAACUAAGUAUGAAAUGAACAUACAGUUUAAUACACACACAUACAUACUGUACAUACAUACAUACGUACAUACAAUAGCAGUUAUCAUAAAAAAUGAUAAAAAUAAAAUACACACAUUUUACAAAGUCCUGACCCACGCUUUCACAUCAUUAGAUGAUUGAUAUCAUGACGUUCACUCUAAAAUGGUUGAUUUUGGCAUGCAUAUUAACACAAAUGCUCUCUAACUAAACUGUUUUUUCCCCUCAGUUUGAAUAGGAUUUUGUCAUAAAGCACUUUGCUAAUUGUCUCAUUGUCUGUCCUAUUCACAUUUGUGCAUCUCAUGUCUGUUAUGGCUUAAGAACAUACAUUUGACUCCCCCCUCAGUGUAUAACCACCUAUAAGAGCCUCCCUCUUCCCAGACUGUACUGUAGUGUGAUGUUCCUAUAGGCAGAGUAUGUUCUAUUAUCAGUCUAAAUCAUAGUCAGAUCAGCUGAAAAGAUGUCGUCAUUCUCUUGAUCCGAAAAGGAAUGCAUUUUUUUUUCCAGUUUUAAAAACUAUAAAUUCAUUGUGUCAAUAUUGCCAUCUUACACUCAAAACAGAAGAUGAAUUCACGAUAGGCAAUGGUCACUUUCUACAGGCCACUUUCUACAGAAUCAAACAGCGUCAUGCCACAACUAUGGAUCAAGAUGAGAGAGAGAGAGAGAGAAAGGGAGAGAAAGGGAGAAAGAGAGAAACUGAUGGGUAAACAGACAUUCACUCAUUAUUUUAUCAUCUUUUCACAAAUCAUUCACUCAGUGUCUUUGAUUAUUCGAGACACGCGGCUCGAACGUUGUUGGUCAUCUUCUAGUGUCCAUGUUUGUUUUUUGUUCCUCGGUUUUUUUUUUCUUCAAAAAUGUGGUGUUCUGUUCUUUUUUUUUCCUUGGGUUGGGAUGGAGGUGGGCUUCU